Xenopus tropicalis (tropical clawed frog) is the source of this 1809-nucleotide long non-coding RNA. RefSeq lists it as uncharacterized. The transcript is spliced from 2 exons. The record is from RefSeq and is a predicted model, not a curated record. NCBI's taxonomy places the organism in Eukaryota, Metazoa, Chordata, Amphibia, Anura, Pipidae.
AUUAAUGACAAUAUCUGCACAUGGAGUUGCCGUUCAGUAAUCUGGAAGUUGCUUUCAUAUUGUUGGCCUUUACUAUUUUCUCCAUAUUUUCUCUGGCUUCUGUCUACAGUGAACCUGAACAAGCACGUGCUGAAGACAAGCACAGCAUACCAGAGGGCAGCAUUAAUGGCACCAGAUCCAAGAAGAAAAAGAAAAGCAGCUUAGCCAGCGCUGACAUUGCUGAAGUAAUUUAGGUUUGUGAUAUAUCACAGAAAGAGGGCAGUUUCCCUAAUGCCUGCUUCUCAGAGCUGAUAUGAGAACUGAUCACCUGGAGUCAGGCACAUGAAGGAUGAGCUGAAGUAGAUGCUUCCCCUUGAUCAGCAAACAAGUCAUGGAGACACGAAAAUAAUAGGGGUUGACAGACUGCAUCCCAGACAAGUGUCUUCGGCACCUUUUCAUUCUUGGGCCUCUUGACCUUCUAAUAAAGCACUGCCUGGUUUCUACCAAACAAAGGAAGCCAGGCUCAAUCUGUGUCAUGAUUUACAGGAAUUUAACAAAUGAAUUUGCAAUAAUCAUUUUUCAAGUCAUGAAUGGCGUAAACCACAGUGUUUUUGACCUUGUGUCAAGCUAUAAGAUCAUUGACAUAUUACACAAAAGAAUCUCUUGUUCCAAAGAAAUCAUCUUAAAUUCCCUUAAAAAGAAGUCACCAGAUCUACUGCAGAAUAAUUGUUUUUUUAUACAUAUAACAUCUUUGCCUAAUAACUUGCUCCAAAAUUAUAGAGCAACAGUGACAUCCCAAACUCAUGCAUCAGUGCAUAGAGUAUAACUAUAAACCCAGUUGGGAAUAUUACACUCACAAAUGGGCCAUGUAUCCUCAUCCAGUUAGUCAAGGGGCCCUAAGUGUUAAAAUUAUAAAUAAAAACGAUUUUAUAUAACAUUUAAGCAGAUGCACUUUUGAAUAAUGAAGAAAACUGGACAAUGCACAAUUAAUUUAAAAUAAAUGUAACACUUUAAGUGCCAGUUGGAAGUUUAUUGGCCCGUGAUUGGGGCCUACUUACUGGUCUACAUGACCAAUAUCUGGACAAAAUUGACUAGAUAUCUAUAAGGCACAUGUCAAAAUUCCAAUGGUUAGGCACCAUAUUGGUGCACUGAUGUGGUCCUCAGAUGACAGGUCUUUAUAGGCUCUGCUAUAUGAUUCAUUCAUUGGCCCCAGAAAAAGAUGGGCCUGACCAGGUUUCUGCACCCUGUGUUUGGUGAGUGGGAUCCACCUCUUCAGAGAAAAUGCUGAGUAUGCCAUUGGCCUAAGGCACAUGAAGAUUAGUAGCUGCUACUUGUAGCUUGGUUUCAUUGCUUUCUGUAGGACUAUUAGGCCCAUGUUAGGAAACAGUUUAUACAUAAAAUGUUAUACUUUCCCCACUACUACAAUAUAUUCCUUUAAUAUAUUACUUCCCCCCUUUUGUCUAUUUAAUUGCAGUUAUUCAUUAUUGACAAACAAAAAUUCUUUUGCCCAGCUCAGUUACUGCCCCAUUUCGUCCUACCAAGACAAGUCUUACAUUGUUCUUUUUAACCAAUUGUAGUCAGUAUUUAAACAUACUUUACUUAGGAGUAUUUGGGAUAAACCAAGGACCCCCUAAAGAAGGUCACAGGGUGACAUGUAGCUUGCAGAAGAGGAAAGAUUGGAAUAAUAACGAAAACAUUUGUGACAGUUUUAUUUAUAUGCUGUAACGAUAUACUCUGGAAUUAUUUAUUUUUGUGCAAAUUGUUAAAAUAACUUUUUCCUAUGUAGUGUAAUUUCUAUGGCCUAAUAAAAUAUUUCAAAUGAUCUGCCAA